Molecule: long non-coding RNA, 1425 nt
Organism: Salarias fasciatus (jewelled blenny)
Lineage: Eukaryota; Metazoa; Chordata; Actinopteri; Blenniiformes; Blenniidae
Exons: 3
Source: RefSeq, a predicted model, not a curated record
CUUAAAUUUGUUCUUGUUUUUUAGAUUUUUUUCUAUCCAAUGUCUAACUUAAGAGGACAGUUUUUAGAGUUCAAAAUUCUCUGAGCCUCCUCACUGACCCUGAACACAACUCAUAAUGGCCGCUUUGCUUAAACUGCGCAGUCUGUCUGAGCUUUAUUAGAGUUACAAGACUGAAUUGGAUGUGAAGGUCGUUACAUCAUACUUCAAAACAAAACAAACAGAACAGUGUCAUCUACAAACACCAGUGGGGCCUUCAGGGAGAAUCGGACAUUUGCUAUUGUAGCAUUUAUAUGUGGUGAAAUGGACAGAGAAUAUAUUAGUGGUCUAAAACACAGCUGGGUGACUAAUUUCCUAAAAGGAUCACAUGAAGAAUUGACACUGCCAUUUAGGGCCGAGACUUAAAUUGACUUUAAUUUUGCUCAAUAGCAAUUGUCUCCUGAUCAAAACCAGUUUAUUUGGGUUUUUGUACAGUUUUUUAAUGGUCUAGAGCUGGUCUGUCACUUUUUCUCAAAAUCCCAGUCUUUGUCGAGAAAUCAUGAUUUUCUCACUUUCCAGCUCUGAAAAAGAGCAGUUUUUUUUUUUUUUUAACAGUAACAAUUUAUAGGUGCUACACUCUACCAAUAAUAUGAUAAUGACCAAUAACAUGAAAAAUGUAACCUUUUUAGGAGUAAUAAAUCCAGUAUUUUUCAUCUGAUUGAGGAUUUCCCAACAUGACCUUAAUAUGUUCUCAUUUAUAAGGUCGGUUCACCUGAAUCAAGAGCCACAAUACAUACAGUUACUUCCAUAUGUUCUCCUUCACAUUUACCACCGAUGCUUACUAUAAAAUCACCUGGUUAGAUUGUGGGGAUUAAAGUUUAAGGUCACAAUGUUCUCACAGAACAGAUUAUGUGGCCAUAACACAGGAAUUCGGACCUGGGUUGGAAGUUUACUUCAUUUUCUUGGCAGAGCAUUUAUUUUUCAACAAGCUAAAGUCCCAAAAGUCUACACUGGAAAAAAAGUCUAAAUAAAUGUAGAGAAGUGAUCAGAGUGCAACCUGACAUGGCGCCUGUACCAAGUGCUUACCUGAGACAAUGAAUAACCAUGCAUUCAGGUUAUUUUCCUCAUUAUGAAAUUCUAGUUAUAGUUGUAUAAAUGUGUCAUUAUAUUAAAAGAUUAAGAAUUUCCUCAGUAAAUUGUCAAAAGGACUUGGUUCUAUUACCACACUUCCCCAUAUUACAGCAAUAAGUGAAAUGACGUUCUUGUAGAUAUGAUCUACUUUUUAAUCAUUUUCGUGCUCAAUUUACAAGAUGAAAGAGGAGAUUUUGCAGUGAAAAUAGAGAAACAACAGUGUGCCUGAACCGAUUCCCUGAGGAACUCCUGAAGAUUCGCUGAACGCUGCUGAACAGCAGCAUGUGUUUCACAGUGGAAUGUGUCAGUGUUGAUCGG